RNAcentral lists this long non-coding RNA (445 nucleotides) under Homo sapiens (human). RNAcentral describes it as "HSALNT0368351". Lineage: Eukaryota; Metazoa; Chordata; Mammalia; Primates; Hominidae. The record is from RNAcentral.
UCACAAACCCACACCAGGCUGAAGUCCAGGGGACAGGAACUUUAAAAGAAAACAGAAACUCAGUGGAUAAAGGUGAGCCAGCAACACAAAAAGGAGCAACUUCUGUCCCCCAAAUAGAAUGGGAAUAAUCCACAUGAGAGUUGCUCCUUCUGCCUGGGCCUGGGAAUGAGAAGACCUGUGGAGCUGAGCUACUGCUUACCCACAACCUGCAUAUACAUAAAUCAGAAGCCAGCACUGGUUGUUGUGAGUCGCUUAGAUUUUGGGCUUGAUGAAGAUGACCUUAGGCACAGUGACCCUGAAGGCCACAUGUUAAAGACAGUGGAGCCACAGGAUGGAAGGAAGCUGGUUCCCUGAAUCAUCACGUGGCAGAGAGCGGACCACUAAUCAGGAUCAUGUGUUUCAGAUUUCACUUGACCAAUAAAUCAAUUUCAAUUUUGUUACACUG